CCUACGGGCGGCAGCAGUGAGGAAUAUUGGUCAAUGGACGAGAGUCUGAACCAGCCAAGUAGCGUGAAGGAUGACUGCCCUAUGGGUUGUAAACGUCUUUUAUAAAGGAAUAAAACGAGGCACGUGUGCCUUUGGGAAUGUACGUUAUGAAGAAGGAACGGCUAACUCCGUGCCAGCAGCCGCGGUAAUACGGAGGAUCCGAGCGUUAUCCGGCUGUAUUGGGUUUAAAGGGAGCGUAGAGGGGUUGUUAAGUCAGUUGUGACAGUUUGCGGCGAAACCGUAAAAUUGCAAUUGAUACGGGCAGUCUUGAGUACCGUUGAGGUAGGCGGACUUCGUGGUGUAGCGGUUACAUGCUUAGAUAUCAC
This 365-nucleotide ribosomal RNA is filed under the name uncultured bacterium. RNAcentral's name for it is "partial 16S ribosomal RNA". It matches the Rfam family "Bacterial small subunit ribosomal RNA", at positions 338 to 700 of the family's 1533-position model. The record is from RNAcentral.